RNAcentral lists this ribosomal RNA (468 nucleotides) under uncultured bacterium. Its description in RNAcentral is "partial 16S ribosomal RNA". It matches the Rfam family "Bacterial small subunit ribosomal RNA", at positions 28 to 507 of the family's 1533-position model. The record is from RNAcentral.
GACGAACGCUGGCGGCGUGCUUAACACAUGCAAGUCGAACGGAAAGACCCUGCUGUUGUGGGGUGCUCGAGUGGCGAACGGGUGAGUAACACGUGAGUAACCUGCCCUUGACGUUGGGAUAACUUCAGGAAACUGGGGCUAAUACCGGAUAGGAGCUCCUGCUGCAUGGUGGGGGUUGGAAAGUUUCGGCGGUUGGGGAUGGACUCGCGGCUUAUCAGCUUGUUGGUGGGGUAGUGGCUGACCAAGGCUUUGACGGGUAGCCGGCCUGAGAGGGUGACCGGCCACAUUGGGACUGAGAUACGGCCCAGACUCCUACGGGAGGCAGCAGUGGGGAAUAUUGCACAAUGGGCGGAAGCCUGAUGCAGCAACGCCGCGUGCGGGAUGACGGCCUUCGGGUUGUAAACCGCUUUCGCCUGUGAUGAAGCGUGAGUUACGGUAAUGGGUAAAGAAGCACCGGCUAACUACGUG